UUGAACGCUGGCGGCAUGCCUUACACAUGCAAGUCGAACGGCAGCACGGGGGCAACCCUGGUGGCGAGUGGCGAACGGGUGAGUAAUACAUCGGAACGUGCCCUGAAGUGGGGGAUAACGUAGCGAAAGUUACGCUAAUACCGCAUAUUCUGUGAGCAGGAAAGCGGGGGAUCGCAAGACCUCGCGCGAUAGGAGCGGCCGAUAUCGGAUUAGCUUGUUGGUGAGGUAAAGGCUCACCAAGGCGACGAUCCGUAGCUGGUCUGAGAGGACGACCAGCCACACUGGAACUGAGACACGGUCCAGACUCCUACGGGAGGCAGCAGUGGGGAAUUUUGGACAAUGGGGGCAACCCUGAUCCAGCCAUUCCGCGUGAGUGAAGAAGGCCUUCGGGUUGUAAAGCUCUUUCAGCAGGAACGAAACGGUGGCUACUAAUACUAGCUACUAAUGACGGUACCUGAAGAAGAAGCACCGGCUAACUACGU
This 482-nucleotide ribosomal RNA is filed under the name uncultured bacterium. RNAcentral describes it as "bacterial SSU rRNA". It matches the Rfam family "Bacterial small subunit ribosomal RNA", at positions 30 to 506 of the family's 1533-position model. The record is from RNAcentral.